This is a long non-coding RNA of Plodia interpunctella (Indianmeal moth), 751 nucleotides long. RefSeq lists it as uncharacterized. The record is from RefSeq and is a predicted model, not a curated record. The transcript is spliced from 3 exons. Lineage: Eukaryota; Metazoa; Arthropoda; Insecta; Lepidoptera; Pyralidae.
UCGCAAUUUCACUAUUAUCUUAUUGAAAUGUGUGCAAAAGUUUGAAAAUUUAGUACGCAAUCACAAAAGUAAAGAACACCUAACGAAUGUGAAUUGAAAUAAUCCUAUAUACAUCCAUUCGUAUGGCUGAAGUUCGUGAAACACAUCCGACGACUUUCUCGAAAAUAUGUAUUAAAUAGAUGUUGCCCGGCGCUUCAUUCCUGUGGGAAUUUUGAAAUAAAAUAUAGCCUUAGCAAUCUUGGAUAAUGUACCCCUCUAAUGGUGAAAUAAUUUUCGAAAUCAGUUAGUAUUGGCACGCAGAGAUCACGUGGUGUUUUUGGUCCAAGACCCACUGCCGUUUCGCUGCCCAUCGAGAACAGGAAACGAAACGGUAUGCGAAGGCAAGGCAUCCCAACAAAAAAGCUGUAGGAAAACAUCUUGAGAAAAGGAAGAUCUUGAUCGUGAACAUCUUGAUCUGGAAGCCAUAUUGAGUGAGACACACCUAAAUUACGAACAAACAAAUAUUUCAACCGUAUACGUAUACAAUCAGGUAAUUCGUAAGCUUUGCCAGCAGGACAAGUGACUUCCCGGCUAAGGGUUUAUUGUAAUGUAGAUUAAAUCAAAAUCUCACUGAAAAGGCUCAAGUCAACUAUAUAGAGCACACGAAACCAGUCUUUAUUGUAAGAACCGGUAGGUCGUUUAAAUCGAGCUGAAAUUUAAGUGCAAUGACUGGAUUAUAACUCGUAAGUACAAAUGUUUGAAAUUUUAUGAC